GAAGUUCUGUCAUACACUCAGGCU
Molecule: microRNA, 24 nt
Filed under: Echinops telfairi (small Madagascar hedgehog)
Lineage: Eukaryota; Metazoa; Chordata; Mammalia; Afrosoricida; Tenrecidae
Description: Ete-Mir-148-P4_5p* (star (passenger))
Source: RNAcentral